UAUAGUUUAACAAAAACACUAGG
Molecule: transfer RNA, 23 nt
Filed under: Sceloporus gadsdeni (Lagoon spiny lizard)
Lineage: Eukaryota; Metazoa; Chordata; Lepidosauria; Squamata; Phrynosomatidae
Description: partial tRNA-His
Source: RNAcentral